Long non-coding RNA from Sarcophilus harrisii (Tasmanian devil), 2158 nucleotides. RefSeq lists it as uncharacterized. The record is from RefSeq and is a predicted model, not a curated record. The transcript is spliced from 2 exons. Lineage: Eukaryota; Metazoa; Chordata; Mammalia; Dasyuromorphia; Dasyuridae.
UUGGGAGUUAGUCUAACUGAAAGUUUUGAAGACAAGCAGUUGCUGACAUUUGAAAGGUGUCAAAUGGUUAUAUGUGCUGGAGAGAGAUGAGCAUCAGAGUUGCCAUAAAUGUAUAGGACAAAUGCUACUAUUUGAUUCUACUUUGAACUCAGAACGAGAAAUGAAGAAAAAGGUGAAAGGAUAUUUUUGAUCUGUAUCAGCCAAUUAACUACUUUGACUAAGAUUUCGUCAUCAGUAUUAGUUUAUCAACUCCACUUAGCAGUAGAAGCAUCUUUUCAACAUGGAAGCCAAAUCCAUUAAGGAACUUUUAUGGAUAAUUCCUAAAACAGAAAGAAGACACACAAAUUUACAAUUUCUACACUAUUAAGUUACUCCUUAGUUCAAGCGUUUUCUUCAUUCUUCUAUCUCCUUGGCAAAUUGCUAAAGUAUGUGUCUACUUUCCCCUACAAAUAGUACAUUGGUGGAAGAAGUUUAUGUGUAUACUGCAUUUAUUAUUUAUACAUUUGGUUUUAUAUAAGGGUAUCCAGAUAUUGUUCUUUAUUGCUUUAUUGUUGAGCAAUUUUAAAACUUAAAAGUACCCAACAUGGAAUCAGUUCCAAAGACUUAGCAUUUGGAUGUCAUUCUUCCAUGAAACAAUUUAAUUCAUUUCAUCAAAACACUCUGCUAGGUACUAGAGAUAGACCCCAAACUGAAGAGUUCUCCCAUGAAGGCUAUAUUUUAACUUAGGGAGAGGCAAAGAAUUAAUGCAUAAGAUCUGCAUUCAAAGGAGGGCCUUUCUUUGUAUUCACCACUAAUUUCAUAUAUACUCUCUAUAUAUUCAAAAACUAUUCUGUAUCCUGUCAAUUUUCACUCCAGUACUAUUGUUAUACUUCAUUUACCUAAUAACUGUUCCAUGCUCCAUAAUGUUUAGGGGCUGGAUCUCACCACCAUGCUAAAACUAUGCUCCAUGACAACUAUCCAAGGCAUUACAGAUGCUCUUUAAAUAAUCAAAAAAAAAAAUUAACAAUUGCAGAUAGCCACAUGAUCUCUUGAGUUUUCCCUGCACACCUAUCUGUGUGUCCUGCUUUCUAGAGCCCCCAAGUUGGGGUGAUGAAAUGUACAGUGUUUUCUAGAUCCCCCCACACUGGGAUGAUUAAAAUAUUGAGUCCUGCUUUCUAGAGCCCCCAAGUUGGAGUGACGAAAUGUACAGUGCUUUCUAGAGCCCCUAUGCUGGGGUAAUUAAAAUAUACUGUCUUAAUGGAGAAGUGAUGUGGUGGGACUCCUAAGGAUGGCGGGAAAAUGGAGUCCAUUUAUUGUAAGGACUUUCCCCUUUUUAGACCCAUAUACCCUUAUAUACCUCACCCAGAGUUUCCUCACUGUCUGUGACCCUCUACACCUAUCUACUUUGCCCUGUGGAGGUCCUCAAUCUUUUUAACACUCCCUAAGAUAUCACUCCUCCCUUGUUUGGCAUUAUUAUGAACAUUAGUUGGGGGGGGGGUUGGUAGAGAGGGGUUUAAUAGAGAGGGGUUUAAUAUCAACAAGAUAUAGAGCUUGAAUUUUAAAAAAAAACUUGGAAAGAUAUAGGUAAGAGACAGCAAAGGGCAGGAGAUAGAAAGUUGGCACUGAAAUAAAGACCAGGUCCAAGUAUCAUUUCUGAUACAUACUGGUCAUGGAGCUUUGGAUACAUCACUAAUCUUCUCAGGUCAUUAUCUAAGAAUAUCUUUACUGGUAAUUCUCUAUAUCUCUGAAAUCUGAGGAACAAUCCAGUACAUAGGAAAAAAUAAGCAGUUCAAAUGGACAAGCAUUUAAGUGAUUGCUAGAUACCAAGCUCCAUUCUAAGAUCAUAAAUUUUGAACUGGAAAAAAACCUUACAAGUCAUUGAAUCCAAUCUCUUCAUUUUUUUAAAGGAGGAAACUGAAAUGUAGAGAGACGAACUGACUUAUCCAUUGUCACAUAAAUAGGAGGAGUCAGCAGGGAAGCCUCACAUAUUAAAUAUCUACCGUUCAGAACAGCAGCUGAGCAAGCCAAGCAACAAAGCCAAGAUGGAGCUGCUACUAUAACUUAAUGGCAGAUUGCCUCAGGGACCAGGAGAAGGAGAGGGGAAGAAAAUCAGUUUUGGAAGAUGAAAUAAAUAUUGGACUUGCAAGUCUACACUUAGUGAUAUUAACCUGCUUAGUAA